RNAcentral lists this ribosomal RNA (207 nucleotides) under uncultured bacterium. Its description in RNAcentral is "partial 16S ribosomal RNA". It matches the Rfam family "Bacterial small subunit ribosomal RNA", at positions 568 to 774 of the family's 1533-position model. The record is from RNAcentral.
UGCGUAGACGGUUACGUAAGUCGGGUGUGAAAGCCCCGGGCUCAACCUGGGAAUUGCAUUCGAGACUGCAUAGCUAGGGUGCGGAAGAGGGAAGCGGAAUUUCAGGUGUAGCGGUGAAAUGCGUAGAUAUCUGAAGGAACACCAGUGGCGAAGGCGGCUUCCUGGUCCAGCACCGACGUUCAGGCACGAAAGCGUGGGGAGCAAACA